GCCUAGCCCUAAACAAAAGUAACAGUCUUACACCUGUAACUCGCCAGGGAACUACGAGCAUAAGCUUAAAACCCAAAGGACUUGGCGGUGCUUUAGAUCCACCUAGAGGAGCCUGUUCUAGAACCGAUAACCCCCGUUCAACCUCACCCUCCCUUGUCUCUCCCGCCUAUAUACCACCGUCGUCAGCUUACCCUAUGAAGGCCCCAUAGUAAGCAAAAUUGGUAUAACCCAAAACGUCAGGUCGAGGUGUAGCGUACGAGAGGGGAAGAAAUGGGCUACAUUCACUGAUACAGUACACACGGACGAUAAAUUGAAAUAAACAUCUGAAGGAGGAUUUAGCAGUAAGAAGGAAAACAGAGUGUUCCCCUGAAACCGGCCCUGAAGCGCGC
RNAcentral lists this ribosomal RNA (389 nucleotides) under Mogurnda adspersa (purple-spotted gudgeon). RNAcentral describes it as "partial 12S ribosomal RNA". It matches the Rfam family "Bacterial small subunit ribosomal RNA", at positions 794 to 1384 of the family's 1533-position model. Lineage: Eukaryota; Metazoa; Chordata; Actinopteri; Gobiiformes; Eleotridae. The record is from RNAcentral.